AUGGAUAUCAAGGGUCACAAAUUUGGAGAUGUUAAUUUUAAGAAGCAAUCAACUCAGCGGACCAAUACCAGGCUGGAUCAACUCCCUAAACCAUCUCUCCUUUAUGGAUGUGUCGAACAACACCUUAUAGGAGAAAUCACAUUAACCUUGAUGGAGAUGCCAAUGCUAAAAUCAACUGAGAACUCAAGUCAUUUGGGCCCAAGGGUCUUUGAGCUGCCUCUUUAUAUUGAUCCAUCACUUCAAUACCUUGCAGAUACAUCUUUCCCACUAGUGUUGAAUCUAAGCAACAACAACUUCACAGGUGUGAUUCCCCCACAGAUUGGUCAGUUGUUGAAAGUUCUUGUUGCACUUGAUUUCAGCUUCAACGAGCUAUCAGGACAGAUCCCAGAAUCAGUACACAAUCUCACAAACCUGCAAGUCCUAGACUUGUCCAACAACAAUCUCACAGGUGCAAUCCCAGCUGCAUUGAACAGCUUGCACUUCCUUGCAGCGUUUAAUGUUUCUGGCAAUGACUUAGAAGGCCCUUCCAUCUGGAGGACAGUUCAACACAUUUGA
This 555-nucleotide ribosomal RNA is filed under the name Triticum aestivum (bread wheat). RNAcentral's name for it is "partial small subunit ribosomal RNA". Lineage: Eukaryota; Viridiplantae; Streptophyta; Magnoliopsida; Poales; Poaceae. The record is from RNAcentral.